Non-coding RNA from Pelobates cultripes (western spadefoot toad), 361 nucleotides. The record is from the annotation of a GenBank genome assembly. Lineage: Eukaryota; Metazoa; Chordata; Amphibia; Anura; Pelobatidae.
UUUUGUUUUUAUAUUUAAAGUUGCAAUAAAUGUAUGUAUUUUAAACCAAGUCCCAUCAGCUUCUAACUUCAUCUUGCUGCUAAAGAAGGGCAGGUGCCCCCCUCUUGAGGUACCCAGGUCUAUCAUCCAGAGCCAGGUUCUCAUUGGCUCAGGAAAAGGUGAGCACAACCAUAACCACUGUGUUUUUUUUUAUUUUGGUUGAAACUUAAUACACUAGGAAGUCUCCCUUUCUCUCUCCUUUGAGGAAAUCCAUUCCAGGCAAAAGGGUGCAAUGUCUCCAUACGACACUACUAUGCAAGUGAUUUGAGCCUGUCCCUUUAAGGCUCUGAUCAAUUCCCAUCAGCUUCUAACUUCAUCUUGC